Molecule: unclassified non-coding RNA, 179 nt
Filed under: uncultured fungus
Lineage: Eukaryota; Fungi
Description: partial contains 18S rRNA, ITS1, 5.8S rRNA, ITS2 and 28S rRNA
Source: RNAcentral
AAGGAUCAUUAUCAAUAACAGUGGACUUCGGUCCCUGCUACUCCCUUGUCUUUUGCGUACCACUUGUUUCCUCGGCGGGCUUGCCUGCCGAAAGGACAACCAUUGAACCACUUGCAGUUGCAAUCAGCGUCAGAAAUAAACAAUCGUUAAAACUUUCAACAACGGAUCUCUUGGUUCUG